This 471-nucleotide ribosomal RNA is filed under the name uncultured soil bacterium. RNAcentral's name for it is "bacterial SSU rRNA". It matches the Rfam family "Bacterial small subunit ribosomal RNA", at positions 26 to 507 of the family's 1533-position model. The record is from RNAcentral.
AGGACGAACGCUGGCGGCGUGCUUAACACAUGCAAGUCGAGCGGUAAGGCCUUUCGGGGUACACGAGCGGCGAACGGGUGAGUAACACGUGGGUGAUCUGCCCUGCACUUCGGGAUAAGCCUGGGAAACUGGGUCUAAUACCGGAUAUGACUUCAGGUUGCAUGACUUGGGGUGGAAAGAUUUAUCGGUGCAGGAUGGGCCCGCGGCCUAUCAGCUUGUUGGUGGGGUAAUGGCCUACCAAGGCGACGACGGGUAGCCGACCUGAGACGGGUGACCGGCCAACGACUGGGAACUGGAGACACGGCCAGACUCCGACGGGAGGCAGCAGUGGGAAUAUUGCACAUGGGCGAAAGCCUGAUGCAGCGACGCCGCGGUGAGGAUGACGGCCGUUCGGGUUCGUAAACCGUCUUUCGAGCGAAGGACGAAGCGACGAGUGACGUACUGACAGAAGAAGCGACGGACUAACGUACG